This 477-nucleotide ribosomal RNA is filed under the name uncultured bacterium. RNAcentral describes it as "partial 16S ribosomal RNA". It matches the Rfam family "Bacterial small subunit ribosomal RNA", at positions 30 to 507 of the family's 1533-position model. The record is from RNAcentral.
AUUGAACGCUGGCGGCAUGCCUUACACAUGCAAGUCGAACGGUAACAGGUUAAGCUGGCGAGUGGCGAGCGGGUGAGUAAUGUAUCGGAACGUGCCCAGUCGUGGGGGAUAACUGCUCGAAAGAGCAGCUAAUACCGCAUACGACCUGAGGGUGAAAGCGGGGGAUCGCAAGACCUCGCGCGAUUGGAGCGGCCGAUAUCAGAUUAGGUAGUUGGUGAGGUAAAGGCUCACCAAGCCGACGAUCUGUAGCUGGUCUGAGAGGACGACCAGCCACACUGGGACUGAGACACGGCCCAGACUCCUACGGGAGGCAGCAGUGGGGAAUUUUGGACAAUGGGCGCAAGCCUGAUCCAGCCAUGCCGCGUGCGGGAAGAAGGCCUUCGGGUUGUAAACCGCUUUUGUCAGGGAAGAAAAGGUUCUGGCUAAUACCUGGGACUCAUGACGGUACCUGAAGAAUAAGCACCGGCUAACUACGUG